This 429-nucleotide ribosomal RNA is filed under the name uncultured bacterium. RNAcentral's name for it is "partial 16S ribosomal RNA". It matches the Rfam family "Bacterial small subunit ribosomal RNA", at positions 356 to 773 of the family's 1533-position model. The record is from RNAcentral.
UGGGAAUUUUGGACGAAUUGGGCGAAAGCCUGAUCCAGCAAUGCCGCGUGUGUGAAGAAGGCCUUCGGGUUGUAAAGCACUUUUGUCCGGAAAGAAAUCCUUGGCUCUAAUACAGUCGGGGGAUACGGUACCGGAAGAAUAAGCACCGGCUAACUACGUGCCAGCAGCCGCGGUAAUACGUAGGGUGCAAGCGUUAAUCGGAAUUACUGGGCGUAAAGCGUGCGCAGGCGGUUUGCUAAGACCGAUGUGAAAUCCCCGGGCUCAACCUGGGAACUGCAUUGGUGACUGGGCAGGCUAGAGUAUGGCAGAGGGGGGUAGAAUUCCACGUGUAGCAGUGAAAUGCGUAGAGAUGUGGAGGAAUACCGAUGGCGAAGGCAGCCCCCUGGGCCAAGUACUGACGCUCAUGCACGAAAGCGUGGGGGAGCAAAC